AGAAUCUUGCGCAAUGGGCGAAAGCCUGACGCAGCGACGCCGCGUGGAGGAUGACGGCCCUCGGGUUGUAAACUCCUUUUCCACAGGAAGAUGAAGACGGUACUGUGGGAAGAAGCCCCGGCCAAUUACGCGCCAGCAGCCGCGGUAAGACGUAAGGGGCAAGCGUUGUCCGGAAUCACUGGGCGUAAAGCGCGCGUAGGCGGUUUGGUAAGUCGGGUGUGAAAGCCUCAGGCUCAACCUGGGAACUGCGCCCGAAACUGCCUCACUGGAGGGACGGAGAGGUGCACGGAAUUCCCGGUGUAGGGGUGAAAUCCAUAGAUAUCGGGAGGAACACCAAUGGCGAAGGCAGUGCACUGGACGUCACCUGACGCUGAGGUGCGAAAGCGUGGGGAGCG
Molecule: ribosomal RNA, 395 nt
Filed under: uncultured bacterium
Lineage: Bacteria
Description: bacterial SSU rRNA
Rfam family: Bacterial small subunit ribosomal RNA
Source: RNAcentral